Molecule: ribosomal RNA, 449 nt
Filed under: uncultured bacterium
Lineage: Bacteria
Description: partial 16S ribosomal RNA
Rfam family: Bacterial small subunit ribosomal RNA
Source: RNAcentral
GAUGAACGCUGGCGGCAGGCCUAACACAUGCAAGUCGAACGCCCUAGCAAUAGGGAGUGGCGCACGGGUGCGUAACACGUGGGAAUGUACCCCAGGGUAAGGAAUAAUGUCUGGAAACGGACACUAAUACCUUAUAAUGACUUUGGUCCAAAGAUUUAUCGCACUGGGAUCAGCCUGCGUCUGAUUAGCUAGUUGGUGAGGUAAUGGAUCACCAAGGCAACGAUCAGUAGCUGGUCUGAGAGGAGGAUCAGCCACACUGGAACUGAGACACGGUCCAGGCUCCUCCGGGAGGCAGCAGUGAGUAAUAUUGCACAGUGGAGGAAACUCUGAUGCAGCCAUGCCGCGUGAGUGAAGAAGGCCUUCGGGUUGUAAAGCUCUUUUAGUCGUGAAGAUAAUUACGGUAGCGACAGAAAAAGCCCCGGCUAAAUUCGUGCCAGCCGCCGCCGUAA